This 754-nucleotide long non-coding RNA is filed under the name Dasypus novemcinctus (nine-banded armadillo). Its description in RNAcentral is "lncRNA (ENSDNOG00000050258.1)". Lineage: Eukaryota; Metazoa; Chordata; Mammalia; Cingulata; Dasypodidae. The record is from RNAcentral.
UGAGUGGUUUUUUUUUUGUGGAAAUGAAUCAUCUCUCAGGUUUAACAUUCAAACAAAGACUUUAAUAUACAUUCCAAGUAACUGCCUAACUCCAAUAAAUCUUUGAGUUUACACAAUAGUCUGUGACUUUUAAACUUCUAAGUGGAUCUGCUGGGCCCACAAGAGAUGGCCUUCUGCUCAGGAUUCGGCUGGAAUCCACGGAGCUGGUGGCAGGGAGUCACUGAGCCCUGGGCCGGGAGCAGCCCACCCAGAGCCCUGCACCCCAGCACGCCCAGGGGAGCCCCGGCUGCCGUGGGGAGCUCACAGGGCGCUCCAGACCGCGAGGCAUCUUCCAAGCAUGGACAGCCACCGAGCAGCACCGGGAAAAUGGAAGCUGAGGAGGCUUCGGGUGUCAGCUCGGCCAGGGCAGCUUGGUGGGGAAGGCGCAUCGCUCAUGCGGAGAAGCGGCGCAGCUGGAUGAGCUCGCACGCACGCUGCGAAGCAGACGCCGAACACACUUGUGGCAUCAGUGAAUGUGGCCCACCUCUUUCCUAAAUCUUGUUUUAAAACUCUUCCGGGUUGGUCCUGCUGUUUCUGUGCGGCUGCGUCUCCUUUGCUGGGGACUGAUGGCGCGUGGGUGGCCCUGGUGGUUUCUGCCCACUCCGUCCCCCUCCUCUGUAAGUCACCUUGAUGCCCUCUGCUCGGAGACUCCUCUCUCCCAGGGAGAAGCCCUUCCCGUUGUGGUCCUGGCAGCACCCUUCCAUCUUGCAGACUG